CCUACGGGAGGCAGCAGUGGGGAAUAUUGGACAAUGGGGGGAACCCUGAUCCAGCAACGCCGCGUGAGGGAAGAAGGAUUUCGGUAUGUAAACCUCUUUUCGCAGGGAAGAAAGAAAUGACGGUACCUGAAUAAGAAGCCUCGGCUAACUACGGGCCAGCAGCCGCGGUAAUACGUAGGUGGCAAGCGUUAUCCGGAUUUAUUGGGUGUAAAGGGAGCGUAGGCGGGAAUGCAAGUCGGAUGUGAAAGGCGCGGGCUCAACCCCUGGACUGCAUUGGAAACUGUAUGGCUGGAGUGCAGGAGAGGGAAUCGGAAUUCCGGGUGUAGCGGUGAAAUGCGUAGAUAUUGGGAGGAACACCAGUGGCGAAGGCGGGUUACUGGACAGUAACUGACGCUGAGGCGCGAAAGCGUGGGGAGCAAACAGGAUUAGAUACCCUUGUAGUC
This 443-nucleotide ribosomal RNA is filed under the name uncultured bacterium. RNAcentral describes it as "partial 16S ribosomal RNA". It matches the Rfam family "Bacterial small subunit ribosomal RNA", at positions 338 to 795 of the family's 1533-position model. The record is from RNAcentral.